UACGAAGGGGGCUAGCGUUGCUCGGAAUCACUGGGCGUAAAGCGCACGUAGGCGGGUCCUUAAGUCAGGGGUGAAAUCCUGGAGCUCAACUCCAGAACUGCCUUUGAUACUGAGGAUCUUGAGUUCGGGAGAGGUGAGUGGAACUGCGAGUGUAGAGGUGAAAUUCGUAGAUAUUCGCAAGAACACCAGUGGCGAAGGCGGCUCACUGGCCCGAUACUGACGCUGAGGCACGAAAGCGUGGGGAGCAAACAGG
RNAcentral lists this ribosomal RNA (253 nucleotides) under uncultured bacterium. RNAcentral's name for it is "partial 16S ribosomal RNA". It matches the Rfam family "Bacterial small subunit ribosomal RNA", at positions 524 to 776 of the family's 1533-position model. The record is from RNAcentral.